AACGAACGCUGGCGGCAGGCCUAACACAUGCAAGUCGAACGCCGUAGCAAUACGGAGUGGCAGACGGGUGAGUAACGCGUGGGAACAUACCCUUUGGUUCGGAAUAACUCAGGGAAACUUGAGCUAAUACCGGAUACGUCCGAGGUUUAAUCGGCCUUGGAGAAAGAUUUAUCGCCGGAGGAUUGGCCCGCGUCUGAUUAGCUUGUUGGUGAGGUAAUGGCUCACCAAGGCGACGAUCAGUAGCUGGUCUGAGAGGAUGAUCAGCCACAUUGGGACUGAGACACGGCCCAAACUCCUACGGGAGGCAGCAGUGGGGAAUAUUGGACAAUGGGCGAAAGCCUGAUCCAGCCAUGCCGCGUGAGUGAAGAAGGCCUUAGGGUUGUAAAGCUCUUUCAGCGGGGAAGAUAAUGACGGUACCCGCAGAAGAAGCCCCGG
This 435-nucleotide ribosomal RNA is filed under the name uncultured bacterium. Its description in RNAcentral is "bacterial SSU rRNA". It matches the Rfam family "Bacterial small subunit ribosomal RNA", at positions 29 to 496 of the family's 1533-position model. The record is from RNAcentral.